Pelobates cultripes (western spadefoot toad) is the source of this 167-nucleotide non-coding RNA. The record is from the annotation of a GenBank genome assembly. Lineage: Eukaryota; Metazoa; Chordata; Amphibia; Anura; Pelobatidae.
GCAGACACAUUUCAGCCAAUCAGCAGCAGACCCUCCCUCCCGGACCCUCCCACCUCCUGGACAGCUCACUAAGAAUGCAGCUUCACAAUGAAUGUAAAAUGGAUGCUGUCCAGGAGGUGGGAGGGCCUGGGAGGGAGGGUCUGCUGCUGAUUGGCUGGAAUGACGUG